CGGAUUGACAAUGGGCGGAGCCUGAUGCAGCGACGCCGCGUGGGGGAUGACGGCCUUCGGGUUGUAAACUCCUUUCACCAUCGACGAAGGUUUUCUGACGGUAGAUGGAGAAGAAGCACCGGCUAACUACGUGCCAGCAGCCGCGGUAAUACGUAGGGUGCGAGCGUUGUCCGGAAUUACUGGGCGUAAAGAGCUCGUAGGUGGUUUGUCGCGUCGUCUGUGAAAUUCCGGGGCUUAACUCCGGGCGUGCAGGCGAUACGGGCAUAACUUGAGUACUGUAGGGGAGACUGGAAUUCCUGGUGUAGCGGUGAAAUGCGCAGAUAUCAGGAGGAACACCGGUGGCGAAGGCGGGUCUCUGGGCAGUAACUGACGCUGAGGAGCGAAAGCAUGGGUAGCGAACAGGAUUAGAU
This 410-nucleotide ribosomal RNA is filed under the name uncultured bacterium. RNAcentral's name for it is "bacterial SSU rRNA". It matches the Rfam family "Bacterial small subunit ribosomal RNA", at positions 359 to 783 of the family's 1533-position model. The record is from RNAcentral.